RNAcentral lists this ribosomal RNA (567 nucleotides) under uncultured bacterium. RNAcentral describes it as "bacterial SSU rRNA". It matches the Rfam family "Bacterial small subunit ribosomal RNA", at positions 338 to 916 of the family's 1533-position model. The record is from RNAcentral.
CCUACGGGAGGCAGCAGUGGGGAAUAUUGGGCAAUGGAGGAAACUCUGACCCAGCGACGCCGCGUGCGGGAUGAAGGCCUUCGGGUUGUAAACCGCUUUCAGUAGGGAAGAAGCGAAAGUGACGGUACCUACAAAAGAAGCACCGGCUAACUAUGUGCCAGCAGCCGCGGUAAUACAUAGGGUGCAAGCGUUGUCCGGAAUUAUUGGGCGUAAAGAGCUCGUAGGUCGUUUGUUACGUCGGAUGUGAAGACCUGAGGCUCAACCUCAGGCCUGCAUUCGAUACGGGCAAACUAGAGUUUGGUAGGGGAGACUGGAAUUCCUGGUGUAGCGGUGGAAUGCGCAGAUAUCAGGAGGAACACCAAUGGCGAAGGCAGGUCUCUGGGCCAAUACUGACACUGAGGAGCGAAAGUCUGGGGAGCGAACAGGAUUAGAUACCCUGGUAGUCCAGACCGUAAACGGUGGGCACUAGUUGUGGGAACCUUCCACGGUUUCUGCGACGCAGCUAACGCAUUAAGUGCCCCGCCUGGGGAGUACGAUCGCAAGAUUAAAACUCAAAUGAAUUGACGG